Molecule: long non-coding RNA, 2611 nt
Organism: Gallus gallus (chicken)
Lineage: Eukaryota; Metazoa; Chordata; Aves; Galliformes; Phasianidae
Source: Ensembl
AGCAGGAGCUGGAUUAGUCCUUACCUACUUGCAGUCCUCAUCUGUGUUUAGAUGAGACAGUGAUUAAAAUUUUCUCAGACAUGUCUGUACAGGAGGACAGCUGAAAAUUUAAGACCAAUUUCCUAAAAUUCAUUGACAGCUAGGAGAAGUGGCUGACAUACCAGAAGGCUGUGCUGCAUUUCAGCAAGACCUGGACAGGCUGGAGAAUUAGGUGGAGAGGAAUGUGAUGAGAUUCAACAAGGGCAAGUGUAGUGUCCUUCACCUGGGAACAAAUAACUGCACACAUCAGCACAGGUCAGGGGCUGACCUGGUGGAAAGGAGCUCUGCAGAGAAGGACCUGGGUGUGUUGGUGGACAACAGGAUGACCAUGAGCUAGCAGUGGCCAAGAUGUCACAUUUUCUUACCUGGAGGACGGAACCACUGAAGUUGCUGGUGAAGUGACCAUCAAUGAAAGUAGAGGCAGGAGGAGCAAAUAUAGUCUUCCCCCUCCACCAGCUGCACUUUAUUUCUUGGGACUGCUGCGUAACAGAAAUGCUUUUGUGCUGCGAGAGAACAUGAUGUACAAACUGAAGAAACCUGGUCAUCAGCUGGCAAUUUCAGCUCAAAGGAACAUCUGAUUCCUAAAGUUACAGAACUUGUCUGAAAGAUUUGUUUGAAAAAGAGAAUGAACUACUCAAUGUCCCAGGACCAAAAUGUAGCAUCAUAUUGGACACUAUGAAGAAAACAAUUCAUUCCCAGCUGAAACUAAGACAUCUGUCAUCUUCUGUGCCCAAACCUGAUUUGGUUUUCAGUAUGGCUUAUUUCUCUUUGCUGACAUAGCCUGAAGCCUAUGCAAAGGAACAACAGAAAUUAUGCACAGGACAAAAAGUCCUUGAAGAUGUAGGUUCCCAAAGUAAUUAUAGAAUCACAGAAUCACUAAGAUUGGAAAAGACCUCUAAGAUCAUCUAGACCAGCCAUGUCCCUGGGAAGCCCGUUCCAGCACCUGACCACUUUUUCAAAGUUUUUCCUAGUAUCUAAACUGAACCUUCUCUGGCACAACUUGAGGACAUUUCCUCUCAUCCUGUGUUUGGUGAUGUAAGAGUGCUUCAUCCUCUCUAGGAGCACCAGCAGGAAUGGAUAAACAAAUAGACGUUAGAAGAGUGUAGUAAAGUCUUUUAAGAUAUGAAGAUGCUGCUAUAUGGUAUAGUCUGGUGGCUGUGAGUAAAGGCUGUCACAGGUUCUGGGACAGACCUGUUAGCUUUAUUUUCAAAUGAGCCAAUCACCAAAAAUUUCUCCUGAAUCUGUGAUGUGUUUCUAACACUCAUGGUUUCAUGUGCUAUGAGUUUCAAUGUCCCUCUGUGAAAUGAGGAACAAACACUCAUAAAUUCCAUGUCAGCAACUUUGACAGUAUUUAAAUCAAUGUCUGCUUGUUUUUUUCCUCUUGUAGGAAGCAUUUUUCCUGGUCUGAGUUAGUGAUGGUAUCCCCCACCUAAGGGUACACUGUCACUCAGCUGGUCCAUAUCUGUCAGUAAUAAUGUACUUUUGAUAUACAGCAAGCUGUGUACAAGGAUGGGGCAUAGUGCCCUUGUAUAUCUACUGACCCUGUUGGAAUGUUCUGUCACUUAGCAGCCAAAAGUAGAUAUGGAGGGAAGAUAAGGAUGGGGUAAUUCUGCAGUGAUAUUGCCUCUCAUCCUAAUGGUGAUGUGUUAGUGACUCUUCCAUAUAAAGACUUGCAUAUUGGUAUCAACUAGAUCCAAGGGUUUUCAGCUAUUUAUGUGGUUACCUACUGUAGAUGUAGAUUUUGGGCUUGUACAUCAUUUUGUAAUCAAGUUGACAGUAUAUUCUAAUGAAAGGCAAAAAGUUCCUUAUGUUUUCUAUUUUGGCCCUGCCAUCUGAUGAAAUAAUAUAUGCCAAAAUUUCUAACUGGGAAUGCCCUAUACUGUAACUAUAAGGCAAAUGUUUUUAGACCAGCAUCUUUUUUUCUAGGUGGCCACAGUUCACAGCCAAUCCAUCUGUGUAUGACUGUUCUUGAUGCAUAUAUCUCCAUUUUUCAACAAUUAAUGUCAUCUGCUACUUUGUCUAGUGACUUAGUCCUAGUUACUUAGUGUUUCUUAACUGUUUCAUUUUUGUUUUUAUGAUCCUAAAAAAUUCAGUAUCAGUGGAUUUUGCACACUCCUCCACAUGUUUUUUCAGAAUCAUUCACAAGUAUAUAACAAACUAUAGCAAAACCCAUUUUCAGAUGUAAAUGGUCACUUUCAUCCUUUGUGAACAUGAACAGUUUAUUUCUCUUUUUCUCAUUCUUAUCUAGACAAUAAUACAAUAAAAACUUCCUUUCUGGUUGUUUUGCAUUCCUCUUUUCUUGGGGACAUUUUAAGGUAUUUGAGGUAAACAUUUAAAAACAUACAAAAACAUAACAUAAAUCCCUUGCCUGUGUUAAAAGAAUUCCAGCACAUUGUAGAGAUAUUAACCUGGUUAAAGGUCCAUGUCAGCUCUUCUCCUAACAUCAUAUUAAAACGUUAUCAACUAAUAUUUCAAUUUGAGAUAUCCUGUUGUAUUCCUCAUUAAGAAAAAUUCUGAUCAAGGAACCUCUUUAACCCCAUACUUAGUACAGGUCAGGGAUUUCUUUUUUUUU